GUUUGGAUAGCUCAGCUGAUAGACCAUGAGACUCCUAACCUAAGGGUCAUGGGUUCAAGCUCCAUGCUGGGCA
Non-coding RNA from Podarcis lilfordi (Lilford's wall lizard), 73 nucleotides. Lineage: Eukaryota; Metazoa; Chordata; Lepidosauria; Squamata; Lacertidae. The record is from the annotation of a GenBank genome assembly.